UUCCAGGUAUUGGAGCGGGUCAGGUGUAUCAUUUAGUCCCCCAAAUGUCGGAAAUUGUAGUUUUAUAGGACUCUUACCCAUGACUCUGUUCUUUACUUCUCCAAGAAUGGUGGAUCCACCUGGUGACCCAAAAUUGACAUCGGCCAUGCCAGGCUGCACGGUGGAUUGCAAUCUGGGGCGGUGUGGAAUGAGUAGGGGCUUUUCCCCUUGUAAACCCUCAGAGGUUUUCCCGCUUGCAGGGGUAAUGGUGGUGGUAACUCUGGAUGCUGUUAAUUCCUCUGACAGUGAAUGCAUCGUAUUUUUGCAGUGGGACAGCUCCUCCUGCAGGUGAGCUACUGCACCAGACAUCGGGGUAAAAACGGAGAAAAGAUCCUUCAGCAGUUCCUGCCGGUGCUGAUGUUGUUCCUCCACAAUUUCCCGAAGGUGUUUCCUAAUCCCAUAGCCAGAAUGUGUCUCCUCUAAGGCGGAAAUUUCAGGCUGCGGUCCUCCGUGACUUUCGUCUGUUUGGACGGCUUUUUGCGGAGUUAAGGGAUGAGCAAGCUCAGAAAACAUAGUGAGGUCCAUGUCCAACAGAGUAUAUGUUGUAAGAGGUAAUUCCUGGGCAGGCACGCCAGUGACAAUAGCCAGUGGUGACUCUGCAGAUCCUCCUUCCAUUUCACACCACAAUGACUCUGAGUUAGCAGCCAUUUUGUUUGGAUUCUUGUACCAGAAAAUAAAAAAGUUUUAUCUUCA
Long non-coding RNA from Sander lucioperca (pikeperch), 732 nucleotides. RefSeq lists it as uncharacterized. The record is from RefSeq and is a predicted model, not a curated record. The transcript has 2 exons. NCBI's taxonomy places the organism in Eukaryota, Metazoa, Chordata, Actinopteri, Perciformes, Percidae.